RNAcentral lists this ribosomal RNA (500 nucleotides) under uncultured bacterium. Its description in RNAcentral is "partial 16S ribosomal RNA". It matches the Rfam family "Bacterial small subunit ribosomal RNA", at positions 30 to 523 of the family's 1533-position model. The record is from RNAcentral.
AUUGAACGCUGGCGGAAUGCUUUACACAUGCAAGUCGAACGGCAGCACGGACUUCGGUCUGGUGGCGAGUGGCGAACGGGUGAGUAAUGUAUCGGAACGUGCCCAGUCGUGGGGGAUAACGUAGUGAAAAUUACGCUAAUACUGCGUACGAUCUAUGAAUGAAAGCGGGGGAUCGCGAGACCUCGCGCGAUUGGAGCGGCCGAUAUCAGAUUAGGUAGUUGGUGGGGUAAAGGCACACCAAGCCAACGAUCUGUAGCUGGUCCGAGAGGACGACCAGCCACACUGGAACUGAGACACGGUCCAGACUCCUACGGGAGGCAGCAGUGGGGAAUUUUGGACAAUGGGCGAAAGCCUGAUCCAGCCAUUCCGCGUGCAGGAUGAAGGCCCUCGGGUUGUAAACUGCUUUUGUACAGAACGAAAAGGUUUCUACUAAUACUAGGAGCUCAUGACGGUACUGUAAGAAUAAGCACCGGCUAACUACGUGCCAGCCGCCGCAGUAA